Molecule: ribosomal RNA, 460 nt
Filed under: uncultured bacterium
Lineage: Bacteria
Description: partial 16S ribosomal RNA
Rfam family: Bacterial small subunit ribosomal RNA
Source: RNAcentral
CCUACGGGUGGCAGCAGUGAGGAAUAUUGGUCAAUGGGCGCGAGCCUGAACCAGCCAAGUAGCGUGAAGGAUGACUGCCCUACGGGUUGUAAACUUCUUUUAUAAAGGAAUAAAGUGAGGCACGUGUGCCUUUUUGUAUGUACUUUAUGAAUAAGGAACGGCUAACUCCGUGCCAGCAGCCGCGGUAAUACGGAGGAUCCGAGCGUUAUCCGGAUUUAUUGGGUUUAAAGGAAGCGUAGGUGGGUUGUUAAGUCAGUUGUGAAAGUUUGCGGCUUAACCGUAAAAUUGCAAUUGAUACUGGCAGACUAGAGUACAGUUGAGGUAGGCGGAAUUCGAGGUGUAGCGGUGAAAUGCUUAGAUAUAACGAAGAACUCCGAUUGCGAAGGCAGCCUACUAAACUGCCACUGACAUUGAUGCUCGAAAGUGUGGGUAUCAAACAGGAUUAGAUACCCGAGUAGUC